AACGAACGCUGGCGGCAUGCCUAACACAUGCAAGUCGAACGAGACCUUCGGGUCUAGUGGCGCACGGGUGCGUAACGCGUGGGAACCUGCCCUUAGGUUCGGAAUAACUCCCCGAAAGGGGUGCUAAUACCGGAUAAUGUCUUCGGACCAAAGAUUUAUCGCCUUUGGAUGGGCCCGCGUUGGAUUAGCUAGUUGGUAGGGUAAAAGCCUACCAAGGCGACGAUCCAUAGCUGGUCUGAGAGGAUGAUCAGCCACACUGGGACUGAGACACGGCCCAGACUCCUACGGGAGGCAGCGGUGGGGAAUAUUGGACAAUGGGCGAAAGCCGGAUCCAGCAAUGCCGCGUGAGUGAUGAAGGCCUUAGGGUUGUAAAGCUCUUUUACCCGGGAUGAUAAUGACAGUACCGGGAGAAUAAGCUCCGGCUAACUCCGU
RNAcentral lists this ribosomal RNA (432 nucleotides) under uncultured bacterium. RNAcentral describes it as "partial 16S ribosomal RNA". It matches the Rfam family "Bacterial small subunit ribosomal RNA", at positions 29 to 506 of the family's 1533-position model. The record is from RNAcentral.